Molecule: non-coding RNA, 691 nt
Filed under: Trichomonas vaginalis G3
Lineage: Eukaryota; Parabasalia; Trichomonadida; Trichomonadidae
Description: Eukaryotic small subunit ribosomal RNA
Rfam family: Eukaryotic small subunit ribosomal RNA
Source: Rfam by way of RNAcentral
UUUGGAGAAUCUAGUUCUUGGGCUCUGGGGGAACUACGACCGCAAGGCUGAAACUUGAAGGAAUUGACGGAAGGGCACACCAGGGGUGGAGCCUGUGGCUUAAUUUGAAUCAACACGGGGAAACUUACCAGGACCAGAUGUUUUUUAUGACUGACAGGCUUCGGGUCUUUCAGGAUAUUGUUUUUGGUGGUGCAUGGCCGUUGGUGGUGCGUGGGUUGACCUGUCUAGCGUUGAUUCAGCUAACGAGCGAGAUUAUCGCCAAUUAUUUACUUUGCCGAAGUCCUUCGGUUAAAGUUCUAAUUGGGACUCCCUGCGAUUUUAGCAGGUGGAAGAGGGUAGCAAUAACAGGUCCGUGAUGCCCUUUAGAUGCUCUGGGCUGCACGCGUGCUACAAUGUUAGGAUCAAUAGGACUGCGAGCCUGAGAGGGUGCGCUACUCUUAUAAUCCCUAACGUAGUUGGGAUUGACGUUUGUAAUCAGCGUCAUGAACCAGGAAUCCCUUGUAAAUGUGUGUCAACAACGCACGUUGAAUACGUCCCUGCCCUUUGUACACACCGCCCGUCGCUCCUACCGAUUGGAUGACUCGGUGAAAUCACCGGAUGCUUACGAGCAGAAAGUGAUUAAAUCACGUUAUCUAGAGGAAGGAGAAGUCGUAACAAGGUAACGGUAGGUGAACCUGCCGUUGGAUCAGUU